CCCCCCAAUCAAGUACCUAAUUUUCUGAUGCUUGGAAUGCUUUGGAGAGGUGUCUUGUUAUAGAGCCGCCCUCCAGAAAUUAAUAGGCAGUAUGGUUUGCACCUGAACCAGACGUAAUAAUAAUAAAACCGUUUGUUUGGGUAUAAUUGUGCUUGUCUUAACCCACCCAUUUUUUUUUCUUU
This 182-nucleotide unclassified non-coding RNA is filed under the name uncultured Peziza. RNAcentral's name for it is "sequence contains ITS2". The record is from RNAcentral. Lineage: Eukaryota; Fungi; Ascomycota; Pezizomycetes; Pezizales; Pezizaceae.